UGGGGAAUAUUGGGCAAUGGGGGCAACCCUGACCCAGCAACGCCGCGUGAAGGAAGAAGGCUUUCGGGUUGUAAACUUCUUUUAUCAGGGACGAUAAUGACGGUACCUGAUGAAUAAGCCACGGCUAACUACGUGCCAGCAGCCGCGGUAAUACGUAGGUGGCAAGCGUUGUCCGGAUUUACUGGGUGUAAAGGGCGCGUAGGCGGGACUGCAAGUCAGAUGUGAAAUCUGGGGGCUUAACCCCCAAACUGCAUUUGAAACUGUAGUUCUUGAGUAUCGGAGAGGCAGGCGGAAUUCCUAGUGUAGCGGUGAAAUGCGUAGAUAUUAGGAGGAACACCAGUGGCGAAGGCGGCCUGCUGGACGACAACUGACGCUGAGGCGCGAAAGCGUGGGGAGCAAACAGG
RNAcentral lists this ribosomal RNA (404 nucleotides) under uncultured bacterium. RNAcentral describes it as "bacterial SSU rRNA". It matches the Rfam family "Bacterial small subunit ribosomal RNA", at positions 355 to 776 of the family's 1533-position model. The record is from RNAcentral.